CAGUCGAACGAAGCACUUAAGACGGAUUACUUCGGUUUGAAGUCUUAUUUGACUGAGUGGCGGACGGGUGAGUAACGCGUGGGUAACCUGCCUCAUACAGGGGGAUAACAGUUAGAAAUGACUGCUAAUACCGCAUAAGCGCACGGUCUCGCAUGGGACAGUGUGAAAAACUCCGGUGGUAUGAGAUGGACCCGCGUCUGAUUAGCUGGUUGGUGAGGUAAGGGCUCACCAAGGCGACGAUCAGUAGCCGGCCUGAGAGGGUGAACGGCCACAUUGGGACUGAGACACGGCCCAAACUCCUACGGGAGGCAGCAGUGGGGAAUAUUGCACAAUGGGGGAAACCCUGAUGCAGCGACGCCGCGUGAAGGAAGAAGUAUUUCGGUAUGUAAACUUCUAUCAGCAGGGAAGAAAAUGACGGCACCUGACUAAGAAGCCCCGGCUAACUACGUGCCAGCAGCCGCGGUAAUACGUAGGGGGCAAGCGUUAUCCGGAUUUACUGGGUGUAAAGGGAGCGUAGGCGGUUCAGCAAGUCAGAAGUGAAAGCCCGGGGCUCAACUCCGGGACUGCUUUUGAAACUGUUGAACUAGAUUGCAGGAGAGGUAAGUGGAAUUCCUAGUGUAGCGGUGAAAUGCGUAGAUAUUAGGAGGAACACCAGUGGCGAAGGCGGCUUACUGGACUGUAAAUGACGCUGAGGCUCGAAAGCGUGGGGAGCAAACAGGAUUAGAUACCCUGGUAGUCCACGCCGUANACGAUGAAUACUA
This 761-nucleotide ribosomal RNA is filed under the name uncultured bacterium. RNAcentral describes it as "bacterial SSU rRNA". It matches the Rfam family "Bacterial small subunit ribosomal RNA", at positions 59 to 818 of the family's 1533-position model. The record is from RNAcentral.